UACGGGGGGGGCAAGCGUUGUUCGGAUUUACUGGGUGUAAAGGGUGCUCAGGUGGCUUGGAAAGUCAGAGGUGAAAUCUGAGAGCUUAACUCUCAAACUGCCAUUGAUACUUCUCAGCUUGAGUACGGAAGAGGCUGAUGGAAUUUCAGGUGUAGCAGUGAAAUGCGUAGAUAUCUGAAAGAACACCAGUGGCGAAGGCGGUCAGCUGGUCCGUUACUGACACUAAAGCACGAAAGCGUGGGUAGCAAACAGG
Molecule: ribosomal RNA, 253 nt
Filed under: uncultured bacterium
Lineage: Bacteria
Description: partial 16S ribosomal RNA
Rfam family: Bacterial small subunit ribosomal RNA
Source: RNAcentral